UAGGGAAUCUUCCACAAUGGACGCAAGUCUGAUGGAGCAACGCCGCGUGAGUGAAGAAGGUCUUCGGAUCGUAAAGCUCUGUUGUUGGUGAAGAAGGAUAGAGGCAGUAACUGGUCUUUAUUUGACGGUAAUCAACCAGAAAGUCACGGCUAACUACGUGCCAGCAGCCGCGGUAAUACGUAGGUGGCAAGCGUUGUCCGGAUUUAUUGGGCGUAAAGCGAGCGCAGGCGGAAUGAUAAGUCUGAUGUGAAAGCCCACGGCUCAACCGUGGAACUGCAUCGGAAACUGUCAUUCUUGAGUGCAGAAGAGGAGAGUGGAACUCCAUGUGUAGCGGUGGAAUGCGUAGAUAUAUGGAAGAACACCAGUGGCGAAGGCGGCUCUCUGGUCUGCAACUGACGCUGAGGCUCGAAAGCAUGGGUAGCGAACAGGAUUAGAUACCCUGGUAGUCCAUGCCGUAAACGAUGAGCGCUAGGUGUUGGGGACUUUCCGGUCCUCAGUGCCGCAGCAAACGCA
This 513-nucleotide ribosomal RNA is filed under the name uncultured bacterium. RNAcentral's name for it is "partial 16S ribosomal RNA". It matches the Rfam family "Bacterial small subunit ribosomal RNA", at positions 355 to 859 of the family's 1533-position model. The record is from RNAcentral.